GUGAGGAAUAUUGGUCAAUGGGCGCAAGCCUGAACCAGCCAUGCCGCGUGCAGGAAGACGGUCCUAUGGAUUGUAAACUGCUUUUAUUUGGGAAUAAACUCCGGUACGUGUACCGGCCUGAAGGUACCAAAUGAAUAAGCACCGGCUAACUCCGUGCCAGCAGCCGCGGUAAUACGGAGGGUGCAAGCGUUAUCCGGCAUCAUUGGGUUUAAAGGGUCCGCAGGCGGUCUUAUAAGUCAGUGGUGAAAGCCUACAGCUCAACUGUAGAACUGCCAUUGAUACUGUAGGACUUGAAUUCGAUCGAAGUGGGCGGAAUGUGACAUGUAGCGGUGAAAUGCUUAGAUAUGUCACAGAACACCGAUAGCGAAGGCAGCUCACUAGGUCUGGAUUGACGCUCAGGGACGAAAGCGUGGGGAGCAAACAGGAUUAGAAACCCGUGUAGUCC
Molecule: ribosomal RNA, 445 nt
Filed under: uncultured bacterium
Lineage: Bacteria
Description: partial 16S ribosomal RNA
Rfam family: Bacterial small subunit ribosomal RNA
Source: RNAcentral